This is a long non-coding RNA of Triticum aestivum (bread wheat), 1219 nucleotides long. RefSeq lists it as uncharacterized. The record is from RefSeq and is a predicted model, not a curated record. The transcript has 3 exons. Lineage: Eukaryota; Viridiplantae; Streptophyta; Magnoliopsida; Poales; Poaceae.
CGACCGAGUAAAAAACGAACCCGUCGAGCUAAGCUACCCCUCAGAAAAGAAAAGAAGAGCCGAGCCCCGAUUCAUUCCUCCCCCUCCACCGCCGCCGGCCGCCAACCACCGCCCCGUCUCCCUCACACCUCGCCGCCGGCCUACCCCCCUCCCCACACAGGGAUCUGAUCUCUCCGGGGGCCACCUUCGGCGAGCGCAGCGGCGGGCUGCCGAAGGAGGCGCAGGAGCUCGCCGUGCUCUGCGAGGCGGACAGCGCCGGCAGGCAGAUGACUACUGCAGCCCCCACACAAGGUUUACUCGCAUAUACGCACUCUACAAGAGUGCUAGCCUAUACUGUCAUAGUGUGGAGGCAGACCGGACAAGAUCUGCCAUGCAUCCGCCGCAGGCACGGCAGAGCUUGGCCAUCUGGAUAAGAAGCUAGAGCGCGCGCGGGGUAAAGUCAGCGAAAUGAAGGUGGAGCUACAGCAUGAUAGUAGAAGAAAAAAGUAAGCACGAUAGUGCUUCUGAAGUAGAAGAAAAAUGUAAGCACGAUGGUGCUUCUGAUUCUGAAUCCACUCCACUAUGCACGGUGGCGCGCUGCCCAGCGGAGAUGCCACCACCGACCCUGCCUCCCCGUACUUCAUCGACGCCGCCCACCCAUACGCGGCCGCCACCACUACUAGAUUUUCCAUUAUAGCCGAGGGUCCAAUCAUCGUCGGAUAUAUAAGUUCACCGUCGGAUACCCUAAUAACCGACGGGUCACCGUCGGCUAUCUCCCGUCGGUCUUGCUUUGUCGGCCAUUACACAUAUAUCCGACGGUACCGUCAGAUAAUAUCUUUUCCAACGGUAAUAGGCCGACGGUUAACCAUAAGACAUAAAUUGAUCAUCAGAAGCUCGACGACACUUAUAGCCGAUGGUUCCCCGCCGGAUAUUUAUUUUCCUACGGUUAUUGCCCCCCGUCAAUUUUCUUAAUAGUCGACAGUAUAUUUGACUGUCAAGGUUAUUUAUAACUGAGAGGAGUGCCAAACCGUCAGUUUAUAUGAUUACUGAUGGUGCAUAGAACCCUUCGGGGAUUCCUUUAGUUGAGAAUUUUCUAGCACCAUCAAUUGUAUAAAUUCACCAAUGUUCUGAAGUUCCUGUGGUCAUAUUGUGUACCCAAGAUGUUUGUUGCACCGUAGGAAAUAAGUCACCCUUACAAAUUGCUUGUAUCGAGGGUUGUUGCAUACCAAGAAACUGUGAU